RNAcentral lists this long non-coding RNA (207 nucleotides) under Homo sapiens (human). RNAcentral's name for it is "non-protein coding lnc-ALKBH2-4:1". Lineage: Eukaryota; Metazoa; Chordata; Mammalia; Primates; Hominidae. The record is from RNAcentral.
GGCUUUGUCUCGUGGGCUGGUCCCCAGCGGCUCCCUCCCCGAACAGCUGCUGCUCCAGGGAGGAAGCGGCGCGGGUGCUGUCCAGCUUCCCGGUGCUGAAAACCGGAGGGCUCGUCAUCCACCACUACCAUGUAAGGGCCAUGAGAAGGGCUCAUCCUGGCGCAGCGCGGACAUGGAGGAGGACUUAUUCCAGCUAAGGCAGCUGCC